RNAcentral lists this ribosomal RNA (463 nucleotides) under Vreelandella stevensii. Its description in RNAcentral is "partial 16S ribosomal RNA". It matches the Rfam family "Bacterial small subunit ribosomal RNA", at positions 338 to 794 of the family's 1533-position model. The record is from RNAcentral. Lineage: Bacteria; Pseudomonadati; Pseudomonadota; Gammaproteobacteria; Oceanospirillales; Halomonadaceae.
CCUACGGGUGGCAGCAGUGGGUAUAUUGGACAAUGGGCGAAAGCCUGAUCCAGCCAUGCCGCGUGUGUGAAGAAGGCCUUCGGGUUGUAAAGCACUUUCAGUGGGGAAGAAAGCCUUGGGGCUAAUACCCUCGAGGAAGGACAUCACCCACAGAAGAAGCACCGGCUAACUCCGUGCCAGCAGCCGCGGUAAUACGGAGGGUGCGAGCGUUAAUCGGAAUUACUGGGCGUAAAGCGCGCGUAGGCGGUCUGAUAAGCCGGUUGUGAAAGCCCCGGGCUCAACCUGGGAACGGCAUCCGGAACUGUCAGGCUAGAGUGCAGGAGAGGAAGGUAGAAUUCCCGGUGUAGCGGUGAAAUGCGUAGAGAUCGGGAGGAAUACCAGUGGCGAAGGCGGCCUUCUGGACUGACACUGACGCUGAGGUGCGAAAGCGUGGGUAGCAAACAGGAUUAGAUACCCGAGUAGU